RNAcentral lists this ribosomal RNA (1108 nucleotides) under Salmonella enterica. RNAcentral's name for it is "partial 23S ribosomal RNA". It matches the Rfam family "Bacterial large subunit ribosomal RNA", at positions 1200 to 2290 of the family's 2925-position model. The record is from RNAcentral. RNAcentral also lists the same sequence under 2 other names. Lineage: Bacteria; Pseudomonadati; Pseudomonadota; Gammaproteobacteria; Enterobacterales; Enterobacteriaceae.
CUGCGGCAGCGACACUGUGUGUUGUUGGGUAGGGGAGCGUUCUGUAAGCCUGUGAAGGUGUGUCGUGAGGCAUGCUGGAGGUAUCAGAAGUGCGAAUGCUGACAUAAGUAACGAUAAAGCGGGUGAAAAGCCCGCUCGCCGGAAGACCAAGGGUUCCUGUCCAACGUUAAUCGGGGCAGGGUGAGUCGACCCCUAAGGCGAGGCCGAAAGGCGUAGUCGAUGGGAAACGGGUUAAUAUUCCCGUACUUGGUGUUACUGCGAAGGGGGGACGGAGAAGGCUAUGUUGGCCGGGCGACGGUUGUCCCGGUUUAAGCGUGUAGGUGUGUGUUCCAGGUAAAUCCGGUUCACUUUAACACUGAGGCGUGACGACGAGGCACUACGGUGCUGAAGCAACAAAUGCCCUGCUUCCAGGAAAAGCCUCUAAGCAUCAGGUAACAUCAAAUCGUACCCCAAACCGACACAGGUGGUCAGGUAGAGAAUACCAAGGCGCUUGAGAGAACUCGGGUGAAGGAACUAGGCAAAAUGGUGCCGUAACUUCGGGAGAAGGCACGCUGACACGUAGGUGAAGUGAUUUACUCAUGGAGCUGAAGUCAGUCGAAGAUACCAGCUGGCUGCAACUGUUUAUUAAAAACACAGCACUGUGCAAACACGAAAGUGGACGUAUACGGUGUGACGCCUGCCCGGUGCCGGAAGGUUAAUUGAUGGGGUCAGCGCAAGCGAAGCUCCUGAUCGAAGCCCCGGUAAACGGCGGCCGUAACUAUAACGGUCCUAAGGUAGCGAAAUUCCUUGUCGGGUAAGUUCCGACCUGCACGAAUGGCGUAAUGAUGGCCAGGCUGUCUCCACCCGAGACUCAGUGAAAUUGAACUCGCUGUGAAGAUGCAGUGUACCCGCGGCAAGACGGAAAGACCCCGUGAACCUUUACUAUAGCUUGACACUGAACAUUGAGCCUUGAUGUGUAGGAUAGGUGGGAGGCUUUGAAGUGUGGACGCCAGUCUGCAUGGAGCCGACCUUGAAAUACCACCCUUUAAUGUUUGAUGUUCUAACGUGGACCCGUUACCCGGGUUGCGGACAGUGUCUGGUGGGUAGUUUGACUGGGGCGGUCUCCUCC